UCCCUGCCCUUUGUACACACCGCCCGUCGCUCCUACCGAUUGAAUGGUCCGGUGAAGUGUUCGGAUCGCGGCGACGGGGGCGGUUCGCCGCCCCCGACGUCGCGAGAAGUCCAUUGAACCUUAUCAUUUAGAGGAAGGAGAAGUCGUAACAAGGUUUCCGUAGGUGAACCUGCGGAAGGAUCAUUG
RNAcentral lists this ribosomal RNA (186 nucleotides) under Calamagrostis stricta subsp. inexpansa. Its description in RNAcentral is "partial 18S ribosomal RNA". It matches the Rfam family "Eukaryotic small subunit ribosomal RNA", at positions 1650 to 1831 of the family's 1831-position model. The record is from RNAcentral. Lineage: Eukaryota; Viridiplantae; Streptophyta; Magnoliopsida; Poales; Poaceae.